AGGGUGGUUAUUUAACUUGGGCUUCAUCUAUCUGCAAACUGAUGUGUCCCCCUAUAAUAUGUGGACAUUUGUUUAUGGUCUAUCAUAAAACAGCCUGAAGCUUGGCUGUACAUCAUGAUGAAACACAACCUCUACAAAACCACAGAAGGACUGGAGAGAAGACUCAGUAGCACUGGGGGAAAGAAACAGGAGAAUCAAAGAAGCUUGUUGGCCAACUGAUCUAGACAAAACUGCAAGUUUCAAAUUCAGUGAGAUACCCUGUCUCAAAAAAGGAAUAUAGAGGAACUAUUGAGAAAUAUAUCCUGACAUCAACUCAAGACU
This is a non-coding RNA of Peromyscus maniculatus bairdii (prairie deer mouse), 321 nucleotides long. NCBI's taxonomy places the organism in Eukaryota, Metazoa, Chordata, Mammalia, Rodentia, Cricetidae. The record is from RefSeq and is a predicted model, not a curated record.